AUUGAACGCUGGCGGCAGGCCUAACACAUGCAAGUCGAACGGUAACAGGAAACAGCUUGCUGUUUCGCUGACGAGUGGCGGACGGGUGAGUAAUGUCUGGGAAACUGCCUGAUGGAGGGGGAUAACUACUGGAAACGGUAGCUAAUACCGCAUAACGUCGCAAGACCAAAGAGGGGGACCUUCGGGCCUCUUGCCAUCGGAUGUGCCCAGGUGGGAUUAGCUAGGAGGUGAGGUAACGGCUCACCUCGGCGACGAUCCCUAGCUGGUCUGAGAGGAUGACCAGCCACACUGGAACUGAGACACGGUCCAGACUCCUACGGGAGGCAGCAGUGGGGAAUAUUGCACAAUGGGCGCAAGCCUGAUGCAGCCAUGCCGCGUGUAUGAAGAAGGCCUUCGGGUUGUAAAGUACUUUCAGCGGGGAGGAAGGGAGUAAAGUUAAUACCUUUGCUCAUUGACGUUACCCGCAGAAGAAGCACCGGCUAACUCCGUGCCAGCAGCCGCAGUAA
This 506-nucleotide ribosomal RNA is filed under the name uncultured bacterium. RNAcentral's name for it is "partial 16S ribosomal RNA". It matches the Rfam family "Bacterial small subunit ribosomal RNA", at positions 30 to 523 of the family's 1533-position model. The record is from RNAcentral.